Molecule: long non-coding RNA, 736 nt
Organism: Halichondria panicea
Lineage: Eukaryota; Metazoa; Porifera; Demospongiae; Suberitida; Halichondriidae
Exons: 3
Source: RefSeq, a predicted model, not a curated record
GUGAGACUACUCUGGUCCCGGUGAAUGUUCGGAGCGCUAUAGCUAUUCGUUAACACAUAAAGCUUAGUUCCAUUGCAUGCAUGUCUGACCAAGAACCACUGCCGUUUUCGACUGUACUUGUCAUAGCAUACGUUGCACUAUUAUUGUAUAGAUGCAGUAAGCGGUCAAUAUAAGUUCCGUUUAUGUAGUACGCCAGUACGUUUACACUGUAUUAAAAGCGUUGCAAUUUACCGUUGCACGUUGCAAGUAUACGUUUUGCAAAAAAACAAACAAAGAGACAAUCCUAGUCACCUCGAGUAUCGUAGCUAGACUAUAGUUACUUAGCUAUAUGCUAUACAUACUUGAUGCUAUGUUUCAAUAUAUAUUGUACAUUGUACAUUUAUAUUAUUGUACAUACUAGAUCUACUGCUUAUCACGUGUACAUUAUAGUUGUGAGACGCCAACUGCCAAGAGGGAAACCACGCCAUUCGCAAAAAUACGCCUAAUUCCCUCUCACAUCUAAAGUUCUUUCAAAAUGGUGGUCGUACUUUUUUGAAGGAUGAUGUUGAAAGUGACACGUGUUGGAGAGAGCAUUAUACUGGACACCCUUGUAUGACCAGACCACUGUAAAGUAUUGACACAAUUGGAGGUGAUGCUGAGAAGUCAAAGGCAGUAUCUUACAAUUGCAGUGAACUGAGGCAGACUUGCUAUGGUUAACUAACUAUGUUUAAAAAAACCUUCACUUUUAUAUCCUCAU